This 207-nucleotide ribosomal RNA is filed under the name uncultured bacterium. RNAcentral's name for it is "partial 16S ribosomal RNA". It matches the Rfam family "Bacterial small subunit ribosomal RNA", at positions 568 to 774 of the family's 1533-position model. The record is from RNAcentral.
CACGUAGGUGGUUUGCUAAGUCAGAUGUGAAAUCCCUGGGCUUAACCUGGGAAUUGCAUUUGAUACUGUCAGACUAGAGUGUGGUAGAGGUAAGCGGAAUUCCCGGUGUAGCGGUGAAAUGCGUAGAUAUCGGGAAGAACAUCAGUGGCGAAGGCGGCUUACUGGAUCAACACUGACACUGAGGUGCGAAAGCGUGGGUAGCAAACA